GAAAUGCGAUAAGUAGUGUGAAUUGCACAAUUCAGUGAAUCAUCGAAUCUUUGAACGCACAUUGCGCCCCUUGGUAUUCCAUGGGGCAUGCCUGUUCGAGCGUCAUUUGUACCCUCAAGCUCUGCUUGGUGUUGGGUGUUUGUCCCGUCUCCGCGCGUGGACUCGCCCCAAAGUGAUUGGCAGCCGGCGUACUGGUCCCGGAGCGCAGCACAUGUCGCGCAAACGAGUGCCUUGGUACGGCGGCGUCCAUAAGCCCCUCUCUCACGCUCUUGACCUCGGAUCAGGUAGGGAUACCCGCUGAACUUAAGC
This 309-nucleotide unclassified non-coding RNA is filed under the name plant metagenome. RNAcentral describes it as "partial contains 5.8S ribosomal RNA, internal transcribed spacer 2, and large subunit ribosomal RNA". The stretch from base 1 to 105 matches the Rfam family "5.8S ribosomal RNA", at positions 50 to 154 of the family's 154-position model. The record is from RNAcentral.